This 589-nucleotide long non-coding RNA is filed under the name Dromaius novaehollandiae (emu). RNAcentral's name for it is "lncRNA (ENSDNVG00000004883.1)". Lineage: Eukaryota; Metazoa; Chordata; Aves; Casuariiformes; Dromaiidae. The record is from RNAcentral.
AGAUGUGCCAUUUUUGAACUUUCCAGUCUGGGGAUGUAUGCAGUUCAGGAGAAGAAGGACAAAAUGAUUCUCUGGAAAGCAGAUCCAAUUUUAGAAUUACUUCCCUAGGGACCUCAGCCUGGAUGGUGGAGGAGAAGCUGGAGUGCUGGAAUGGUCCCAAGGCAUACAUGGGACUCCGUAGGUCCAGCUUCAAGUUUGUCAAGAUUCUUGUCAAGACUCAUACUGAAGCCCCAGAGUUUGGCUCAAUUACCCAAGCCUUUCAGCAUGUUUGCUCCCCUUCUCGGAACUAUAAGCAGUUUCCACUGUGUACAUGGAAGUGCUGCCUUCCUAACUGACUGAAAGGCUGCAACCGAGGCCUACCCAUUGCUGAACAGUGACAACUUUUACACACAUUCUACUAUAUUUUGGUACACUAUUUGCAUUUUGAAUGUUACACCAAUAAGACAGAACAGUUCUCUUCUACAGCUCACUGCACAGCCGCAAGAACAUCGGUGUUAACACAAGAAGGCAACAGGCAAGACGGGGUGGGGAAAGCAUAGCUGCCCCUUUCAGAAGCAAUUCUUAUUUGUGACAAAUUAAAGUGACUAGC